This 448-nucleotide ribosomal RNA is filed under the name uncultured bacterium. RNAcentral's name for it is "bacterial SSU rRNA". It matches the Rfam family "Bacterial small subunit ribosomal RNA", at positions 75 to 518 of the family's 1533-position model. The record is from RNAcentral.
AGUAGCAAUACUGCCGGCGACCGGCGCAAGGGUGCGUAACGCGUGAGCAACAUGCCCGUAUCAGGGGGGAUAAUCCAUGGAAACGUGGUCUAAUACCCCAUAGUAAUUAUGUAAGGCAUCUUAUAGAAUUUAAAGCUUUGGUGGAUACGGAUUGGCUCGCGUGACAUUAGCUGGAUGGUAAGUAACGGCUUACCAUGGCUACGAUGUCUAGGGGUUCUGAGAGGAAGGUCCCCCCACACUGGAACUGAGACACGGUCCAGACUCCUACGGGAGGCAGCAGUGAGGAAUAUUGGACAAUGGAUGGAAAUCUGAUCCAGCCAUGCCGCGUGCAGGAAGAACCGGCCCUAUGGGUUGUAAACUGCUUUUGUAUGGGAGCAAUAAGGGCUACGUGUAGUCCGAUGAGAGUACCAUACGAAUAAGCACCGGCUAACUCCGUGCCAGCAGCAGC